GAUACAACAUUCAAGGACAACACCUUACCAUCCCCAGUCUAACCCAGCUGAACAUUUUAACAGAACCUUACUAAGCAUGCUCAGAACACUGGAAGAGACACAAAAACCUAACUGGAAAGACUAUUUGAACAAAGUAGUUCAUGCAUACAACUCAACAGUGCAUGAAUCAACUGGCUUUUCCCCUUUUUUUCUGUUAUUUGGAAAAGAGCCAAUCCUACCUGUUGACCUAUUGUUUCCAAAAGAGCAAAAGCAGUCACAGUCUCAUCAAGACUAUGCAGACAAAUGGCAAAGGUCAAUGCAGGAAGCUUACAGCAUUGCACAAGAAAACAUCAGAAAAGCAAGUAAAAGAGGACAAAAGUAUUACAACAGAAAAGCCUGGAGUUCAGAACUUAAACCUGGGGACCAUGUUCUUGUCCAAAACCUAUCUGAAAGAGGAGGACCUGGAAAAAUACGUGCUUACUGGGAAAACAAAACGCAUGUUAUAAAAGAAAGAAGAGGGCAAGACAGUCCAGUUUAUGUGGUGACACCAUUAGAUGGUGAAGGGAGGGAAAUAAUCCUUCAUAGGAAUGUUUUACUACCCUGUCCUUAUCUUAUUGAUGGACAAGAGACUAAAGAACCAAAAGAAAAAAACAACCAAAAGAGACAAGCAAACAGACAAACACGCCAAACCAAAGACCAAGUUCAUGCGAACUCUGACAGCUGUAGUGAGGACGAGUAUUCUGUGUGGAUUGCCCGUCAAAGCCAGACUACCAGCCUCAAUCCACAUGCCCCAGUCUGAGGAGCCCUGAAAAUAUGUUUAGAACGUGAUAUUGUUUAAUUAAUAGGUACAGUUAUCUUAUUGGGCAAGCAUUUAUUUGAUUUAGUAUUUAGUUAGAACAAUUCAAUUGGUUUAUGGCUAAAUAUGUGCUCAAACUAUAUUAUUUUUAUUUCAUAGAUUUCUGUCAUGAUAAUAUCCCUUUAAGAAUGACACAAUGCAUGAUGGGAGUUUAAAGUUUAUGACCUGUGAUUAUUACGAAACAAGAGAGAAAACUACCCACGCUGUUUGUUCGAACCGUGGAUUUUGCUUAAUAAAGUUGCACAAAAGCUAAAAUAUAUAUGAGUUUUUAAGGGUGCAACAUUAAGACACUCAGAAACUACUAACCAUGCAUGGAGGGUUCCACCCCAAAUCUAUCACCCUAACUAAACACGAGCCGCAAGGAAGGUAAAUAAGGCAGGUGAUUCCUUGAGUUUUGGUUUUCUAAUUUGAGGGAACCAAACCUUUAGAGAAUCCUAAAAUCCUUUAUCGGAAAUAAAGGCCCCUCUUAGAGGAUUAAGAGGCAGAGCGACCACAAAGCUGAUUUGUUGGACUCUGUGAAGACGUUUGCAGUCUACAGAGGAUAUGCCACCCAAUUCAAGAAGAAUGGGUCUAAGUGGUUCCAACACGCAAUCUCCUCCUCCGGGUUUAAUUGUUUGGAAUAAAAUGCUGAACAUAAAUCUUUUGUUGAUAAAUUACAGGCCUUAAUAUGUUUAAUUUUUCUUUUGUGUGUUUGAAUAAAAAAAUAAAUAAAUGCAUUUCUUAAAAGGAUCAGUCAAUUAAUACAUUUUAUUUAUAAGGGACCCUUUCAUACUAAAAGUAGCUCUAAGAGUCAUACCAACACUUAGCCCUCAGGUUUCUCUGACAAACUGUUCCACAAACAGGAGCCAUAAUACUGGAUGGGUAAUAAAUGACUAAAACUAUACGAUCACAUAAAAGGUUAAAAUAAGAUUCAUAAAUAUAAAUGUAUAUGUAUAGAAAACAAGGAAAAUGACAAAACAAAACCUAAUCGAUUUCUAUUUGCUUUUUCUUUUUCCCUCUGUCUGAGCCUCGCACGGUGCAUCUGACCUCUGACCUCAAGUCCUCUAACCUGUCCUCCCAUGGACCAGAUGAUGUCCCUCCUACAAAACCAGCCAAUGAAAAUGAUCGAGAAGAUCAAGAAGACAAAAAAGACCUCCAUCACCUCCAGGGGACAACUUAUCAGCGUAGAGGAAGAAAAGCUAAACAUGCUUCGGAGCUGUGAGAGAAGAAGACUCUGAACUGUUGUCCACAGUUGUCAUCUGUGGACAACAUGGACAUUUCCUGAGGGACGAUCUGGACAACCCAAAGAUCCAACGCCAGAACCAGUUGGACCCCCAGGAAGCCGGAGGAGAGAGACGGGGGAGGAUUUGGCUGCAGCAAUGCCGAGACCGAGUGGGGGAGAGGGGCGUAAAGGAAGGAACAACCUGAAUCCACAUCAACCACUGUGAAGGACGACCUGUCUCUAAUGUCCAUCUAAAUCAUGACUGUAAAUCUGAAACAGCAACAGAGUGAGCAGCAAAACUUCACUCUACCAAGAAUCAAGUACUUCAGCUUUUGACACCAAAGAGGUCAAUGUCCAGAGGAACAGCAAGUUUAAAUGUUUCUGAAAGACUCUCCACUCAAAGAACUAUUGCUGGUCCACUGGCGAGUGACGGAAACGGAGAGUGAAGAUUUACACUGUUCUGUUAUCCUUAAAUAUGCAUUUAAAAGAGAAAAUCAACGUCAGAAAUUACUUGGUUUUUCAUAUGUUUAAUUUUGACCAAAGAGGAUGAAAUCAGAUGUUGCCUGGUUGUUUAUAACUUUGGUUUAUUUAGAAUCAAAGAGGAUGAAGAUCACUUUGAAAUUGUUUUGUUUUAUUUUGAAGUGGGCGCAUUAGAAUCAGAUGGGGCAACAUAAAAAUUUUACUUGUUGAUUAUAA
This is a long non-coding RNA of Poecilia latipinna (sailfin molly), 2732 nucleotides long. RefSeq lists it as uncharacterized. NCBI's taxonomy places the organism in Eukaryota, Metazoa, Chordata, Actinopteri, Cyprinodontiformes, Poeciliidae. The transcript has 2 exons. The record is from RefSeq and is a predicted model, not a curated record.